UACGUAGGGUGCAAGCGUUGUCCGGAAUUAUUGGGCGUAAAGAGCUCGUAGGCGGUCUGUCGCGUCGGAUGUGAAAAUCCAGGGCUCAACCCUGGACCUGCAUUCGAUACGGGCAGACUAGAGUUCGGCAGGGGAGACUGGAAUUCCUGGUGUAGCGGUGAAAUGCGCAGAUAUCAGGAGGAACACCGGUGGCGAAGGCGGGUCUCGUGGGCCGAUACUGACGUGGAGGAGCGAA
This 235-nucleotide ribosomal RNA is filed under the name uncultured bacterium. RNAcentral's name for it is "partial 16S ribosomal RNA". It matches the Rfam family "Bacterial small subunit ribosomal RNA", at positions 524 to 757 of the family's 1533-position model. The record is from RNAcentral.